Molecule: ribosomal RNA, 492 nt
Filed under: uncultured bacterium
Lineage: Bacteria
Description: partial 16S ribosomal RNA
Rfam family: Bacterial small subunit ribosomal RNA
Source: RNAcentral
AGUGAACGCUGGCGGUAGGCCUAGCACAUGCAAGUCGAACGGCAGCACAGUAAGAGCUUGCUCUUACGGGUGGCGAGUGGCGGACGGGUGAGGAAUACAUCGGAAUCUACUUUUUCGUGGGGGAUAACGUAGGGAAACUUACGCUAAUACCGCAUACGACCUACGGGUGAAAGCAGGGGAUCUUCGGACCUUGCGCGAUUGAAUGAGCCGAUGUCGGAUUAGCUAGUUGGCGGGGUAAAGGCCCACCAAGGCGACGAUCCGUAGCUGGUCUGAGAGGAUGAUGACGCGCACUGGGAACGGAGGACCGGCCCCGACCCCAAGGGGGGGCAGGGAGGGGGAAUUUGGGAAAAGGGGGGAAAGCCUGGCCCAGCCAACCCGGGUGGGUAAAGAGGGCCUUGGGGUGGAAAAGCCCUUUUGUUGGGAAAAAAAAGCAGCAGGUUAAGACCCGGCUGUUCGGACGGUCCCCAAAGAAAAAGCACCGGCUAACUUCGU